AUGAGCUUAUCUGCCAUUGGGAUAAUUAGUGCCCUCAAUGAAUGUGUCACUUUGUUUCAGUGGGCCAAAUCUGCCAUUUCAUCUUUGCACUCCCGAUGGAGUGGCUCACAGGAGCAACAUCUUCAGGAUCGUGUAUUGCAGUUGGAGAGUGGCCUGCAAUGUCUCAGGGAUACUCUUCCUGCAAUGUACAGCCUCAUUAAUAAAGCAGAGUGGAGAAGCCACAACGACGGUGUGGCUAGUCUCCUUCCUAAUCUCAAGGAUGCAGUGUCUGAGGCCGAGGACCUUCUUGAUGAAUUCAGAUGGUAUGAGAAGAAGGUGCAAGUGGAGGGCAAUGCAAGCCAAUUUCCUUUCAUUGACUUCUUUGAUACUGUCAUCCAAGGCAGCUUCAACAAACUGAAUGAUGUCCAGUUGAGGUUGAACCAUCUUUCGAGACAGAUUGACACUAUGGUGCUUCAUGGAGUUACACAUCGCUUUGACAAAUUAGUCAGGCCAGAGACCACUUCUUUGCCAAAUGAAACAAAAAUAUUUGGUCGUGACAAGGAGCUGAAGCAGGUAUUGGGUUUUCUCAAUGUACCUGCAAAUUCAAAACGCAGGAGAGCAACUAGUUCAGUCAAUGCAUCAACCAGCGCACCAGUGAGCAACCAAGUUAGUACUGAAUCAAGGAUAUAUAGUCUUCCUGUUUUGCCAAUAGUUGGAAUUGGUGGUGUUGGAAAAACUACUUUGGCCCAACAUAUAUGCAAUCAUCAACGAGUGAAGUCUCACUUUGAGCUGAUAAUUUGGAUUUGCGUCUCCGAUGACUUUGACGUGAAGAGGUUAAUUAAAGAAGUUAUACAAUCUUGUACUGGAAAGGUGGUAACAAUUGAUAAUUUGGAUUUUCUUCAGCGUGCUCUCUCUAACCUUGUGACCAAUAAAAGGUUAUUGGUAGUCCUUGAUGACAUGUGGGAUGACGCCUUGAAGGAAAAUGAGCAGUGUUGGAAGAGGUUUAUUGCACCUUUUAGAAGUGUCCAAGAGGGUAGUGCGAUGUUGGUCACCACUAGAUGUCCAAAGGUUACCGAGGGGGUGCGCACAAUGGAGCCCGUCAUAUUAGAAGGUCUAAAGGAUGACGUCUUCUGGAAUUUCUUCAAGUCAUGCAUAUUUGGAUCUGAGAAUUCUGACAAUGAUCCUGAAUUAGAGCAUAUUGGCAGAAGUAUACUUCCUAAAUUGAAGGGUUCUCCAUUGGCCGCCAAAACUCUAGGACGGAUGUUAAGUAUGGACCUUCAAGCAUCACAUUGGAAUUUUAUACUUGAGAGUGAAUUAUGGGAGUUGAGACAAGAGCAGACUGACAUUUUGCCUGCACUUCGGUUGAGCUACAUGUAUUUACCAUUCUAUUUGAAGCAAUGCUUUGCAUUCUGCGCUGUGUACCCCAAAGAUUACAGAUUUGAGAAGGCAUGCUUAGCUGAAAUUUGGGCAGCAGAAGGCUUUGUGGAACCUCAAGGUGGUGUUCCAAUUCAAAAUAUUGGCUGUCAGUAUUUUGAAGACCUUGUUGCAAGGUCCUUCUUUCAAAAGGUUAAUGGUGGAUAUGUAAUCCAUGAUUUGCUGCAUGACAUGGCACAAAUGGUUUCAGAGCACCAUUGCUUCAUCUUAAGAAAUAAGAGUGACUUUGAUAAAAUUCCCCAGAAUGUUCGUCAUCUGUAUGUACUCUCUGGCAGUGAAUUUGACGAUUCCGACUUGUUGAGACUAUGCAAGUAUACGAAGUUGCGUACCUUAAUUUGCAAGAAGAGUUUAGGGAGAAAAGCAAGCUUUGUAAUGGACCACUGGUGUACUAAACUUCCGCGCAUGCGUGUGAUUUCUUGUGCCUCUGUAGAUGAGUUACCAGAUAGUAUUGGCAACUGGAAGCAUCUUCGGUACCUUGAAAUCUGCAGAGCUGGUCUUCUCAUGAAAAGGCUUCCUUCAACUUUGUGUUGGCUAUAUCAUCUGCAGAUUUUAUAUGCCAAGAAAUGCAAGCUAGAAAACUUGCCCGAUGACUUUGGUAAGUUGACUAGUUUGCAGAAAUUCGAAUCAGAUGGAUUAACAUAUUAUGCUGGGGAUCAAAUGACUUUUGAUCUAGAAAAAUGUGAGGAGGGAAAACGUAUAAGUUUAAUAAAGAAACUUAAUCAGUUUCGUGGACACUUGAAGAUAGCUAAUGGUGGCAUGCUAAGUAAGGAUCAGGCAGCAGAAGCUGAACUAAAGAAUAAGAAAUAUCUUGAUGAGUUGACACUCAAUAUGAAUUCACAGAGGUCUCAAACCAUCCAGGAGAAUGUGAUAGAAGUGCUUGAAGUUCUGCAACCUCCUAUCAGUCUCAAGUCUCUGUUACUCCAGAAUUAUGCUGGUGUCUCACUCCCAAGCUGGCUUUUGCCACAAAAUUUGCCAAGCUUAAAAUCACUUACUUUUGCAGGUUGUUUUGAACUCAAGAGCAUAUCAUCUCCCAUGAUCUCACAGGGCAUAAACUUAAAUGAGAUACCUGCAGUUGGUAUUUUCCUCUCCCUGGCAGAUGUAACCAUUGAUGGGUGCAGGAAUAUAUCAAGCCUCGAACAGUUUCUAUGCUCAGAUUAUGUGCCAGCCAUCAAGAAAAUAAGAAUUGAACAUUGUGAGAUGUUAGCAUCAGUACCUACCGAAAAGUUUGGAGAAUUUCAUUUCCUUGAAGAACUAGUCAUGUGUCAUUGUCCAAACAUCCGGCUCCAAAGAUUGGUGUCGCCGUCCCUUCAGAAGCUACAUCUCUGGCGUGCUGGUCUCUUUUGCAAUAUUGACUGCUGCUCCCUCACCUACUUUGAUUUAUCAUGCGAGUCUGUCACGUCCAUCAACCUGCAAACAUGGAGUCUUCCAGCUCUGCAAGAGUUGCACGUUGCGUGCAAAAAUCUUACAUCUAUUGGAGACUCCCCUAUUUUUUCCAUUUCUACAGGCACCAGCACCACUAGAGCAUUCUCGUUCCUUAAUGUUAUAUCAUUUUGGAUGUGUCAGAAAUUGUCAGCCCUUGAUGACUUCCUAACACAAGAAUAUGUACCUGCUGUUGAGAAAAUUGAAAUCAAAUGUUGUAGGGAGUUAAUGUCCCUGCCAGGUGAAAAUUUUGGGAGUUUUCCCUAUCUGAAACAUUUGGUGGUUAUUGAGUGUCCAAGUCUCAAGUGGCAAAGGGGAUUCACGUUGCCAUCAUCUCUCCAAAGGCUCAACUUGGCGCAAUGUGGGGAUAUCUCUCCAUACGUUCCCAGCUGCCUACUGAACCUUACAUCCCUCGUGUCACUGAGGAUGAUUGUGUGCCAGGGUAUAACAUCCAUUCCAGGCGACAUUUGGCGCAGUAAUCUUACAUCACUUGAGGAAUUGAGGAUUUCGGAUUGUCCAGACCUAGUUUCAUUUGGUGGAGCAAAGGCAGUAGUAAUGAUAAAGAAGGUAUUGAUAUGCCGGUGUCCAAACUUAAGGGGAGUAAAGGAGAUCAAUAGAGAAGAGCACUAA
Molecule: ribosomal RNA, 3462 nt
Filed under: Triticum aestivum (bread wheat)
Lineage: Eukaryota; Viridiplantae; Streptophyta; Magnoliopsida; Poales; Poaceae
Description: partial small subunit ribosomal RNA
Source: RNAcentral